RNAcentral lists this transfer RNA (90 nucleotides) under Araneus ventricosus. It matches the Rfam family "tRNA". Rfam says of the family: Transfer RNA (tRNA) molecules are approximately 80 nucleotides in length. Their secondary structure includes four short double-helical elements and three loops (D, anti-codon, and T loops). Lineage: Eukaryota; Metazoa; Arthropoda; Arachnida; Araneae; Araneidae. The record is from Rfam by way of RNAcentral.
GCCUCGGUAGCGCAGUAGGCAGCGCGUCAGUCUCAUAAUCCCCUCUCUUGAGGAAUCUGAAGGUCGUGAGUUCGAUCCUCACCCGGGGCA